GAUGAACGCUGGCGGCGUGCCUAAUACAUGCAAGUCGAGCGAACAGACGAGGAGCUUGCUCCUCUGACGUUAGCGGCGGACGGGUGAGAAACACGUGGAUACCCUACCUAUCAGACUGGUAUCACUUCGGGACACCGGAGCUUAUACCGGAUAAUAUCUUGCACCGCGUGGUUGAAUGGUGAAAGUCGGUUUUGCUGGCUCUUAUAGAUGGAUCCGCGCCUCAUUAGCGAGUUGGUAAGGUAACGGCUUACCAAGGCGACGAUGCGUAGCCGACCUGAGUGGGUGAUCGGCCACACUGGAACGGAGACACGGUCCAGACGCCUACGGGAGGCAGCAGUAGGGAACCGUCGGCAAUGGUCGAAAGCUUGACGGAGCAACGCCGAGUGAGUGAUGAAGGUCUUCGGAUCGUAAAACCCUGUUAUUAGGGAAGAACAAAUGUGUAAGGAACUAUGCACGGAUUGACGGUACCGAAUCAGAAAGCCACGGCUAACUACGUG
This 497-nucleotide ribosomal RNA is filed under the name uncultured bacterium. RNAcentral's name for it is "partial 16S ribosomal RNA". It matches the Rfam family "Bacterial small subunit ribosomal RNA", at positions 28 to 507 of the family's 1533-position model. The record is from RNAcentral.